This 119-nucleotide ribosomal RNA is filed under the name Pteropus alecto (black flying fox). The record is from RNAcentral. Lineage: Eukaryota; Metazoa; Chordata; Mammalia; Chiroptera; Pteropodidae.
GUCUACGUCAAUGCCACCCUGAACAUGCCCGAUCUCAUCAGAUCUUGGAAGCUAAGCAGGGUCGGGCCUGGUUAGUAUUUGAAUGGGAGACCACCUAGGAAUACCAGGCUCUGUAGGUG